UACGUAGGGUGCGAGCGUUAAUCGGAAUUACUGGGCGUAAAGCGUGCGCAGGCGGUUUUGUAAGUCUGACGUGAAAUCCCCGGGCUCAACCUGGGAAUUGCGUUGGAGACUGCAAGGCUAGAAUCUGGCAGAGGGGGGUAGAAUUCCACGUGUAGCAGUGAAAUGCGUAGAUAUGUGGAGGAACACCGAUGGCGAAGGCAGCCCCCUGGGUCAAGAUUGACGCUCAUGCACGAAAGCGUGGGGAGCAAACAGG
This 253-nucleotide ribosomal RNA is filed under the name uncultured bacterium. RNAcentral's name for it is "partial 16S ribosomal RNA". It matches the Rfam family "Bacterial small subunit ribosomal RNA", at positions 524 to 776 of the family's 1533-position model. The record is from RNAcentral.